CUGGCAAGGGCCUGCCAAGAUUCCUACAGGAAAGGAAAAAUCCACGGGCAGGAGGUGGGGACAGAGCCAGGGGAAGGAACCCAAACGGCACCUUGAAGGAAUUCUUUCAUGGGAAUUCUUAAAUGGCGUUUGUUUAGCGUGUCACAAUUUUCUUUGGGCUCUGGGUGAGAUGUCAGCAGAAGCCUGUGGAGACAUAGGGGCAGUGAGUGGAUGCCUGCAGCAGAUAAUGAGAGGACCAGCUUAUCAAAUAUCCUCGGAGCUUGUGAGUUCCUGGGCGCUUGAGUUUGUUUAUUUUUUCCCAGGAGAAAGGGAAAAAAUGACUCUAAAAUGGAAGGUUUGAAUUCUCGCUCUGGCCGGGUUGCGAGCUGCCUGCAGUUCCUGGGCAGAGCACAGGGACGUGCCUUGUGAGCGAAGGGGUGAUGUCUGGGUUAGCAUGAGCGUUCCUAAACUCAGGGGCCAUGGAAUGUUCUGAUGUCCUAGCACAAGUCCCAGGCCUGUACCAAGGGGAACGUCUACCUCAAAAUAUGACAGCAGAAGUAAUGCACCAACCAGGCGUGUGAGGGCUACAUGUCUGGAGAAGGUUAGCGCCGAUCUGCAUUCUGCCCUGUGGAUUCCUUUGGAUUCUCCGCAUUGGAAGAACAAAGUGUGGGAUUGGCUGCGGCCAACCUUGACAUGAUGGCCAAGAGACCGUGGAGGGAAGCAGUGAAACUGGCAUCCCAGAUCAAAAUGCCUGCCUCAUUUCGGCACUCACAGUCUCGAGAACUGGCCUGCUCGGCCACAGAAUGAGCCUCCCCAUUGUACGUCCGUGUCCCUUGGAGAGGCCUUGGCAAGACAUUCUGAGAACGCUCCAUCACAGACCUGACUCCACUGAAAGUGCCUCCAUGCUGGUGUCACGUUGUGCUCCGGAGCACAGCUCAUCCAAUGCCCGGCAGUUGGACCCUGCAGCUGCCUGGUUACUCCCGGCCGGCACUGUCCAUGUACCUCGCUCUUUGACCUGCGGCACUCCGGCCCUCCCACAUCUCAGAUGGAGCCAAAGAAGAUGUCUCGGUGCCACCAGCAGUGAAUCUGGCAAACGGAUUGUCCCAGGUCUGGGCAAGUAUCAUAUAUGGGCUAAAUAAUCAGCUGGC
Non-coding RNA from Pelodiscus sinensis (Chinese soft-shelled turtle), 1127 nucleotides. The record is from RefSeq and is a predicted model, not a curated record. NCBI's taxonomy places the organism in Eukaryota, Metazoa, Chordata, Testudines, Trionychidae.